Molecule: long non-coding RNA, 1691 nt
Filed under: Mus spicilegus (steppe mouse)
Lineage: Eukaryota; Metazoa; Chordata; Mammalia; Rodentia; Muridae
Description: lncRNA (ENSMSIG00000024631.1)
Source: RNAcentral
AGACAGCUGACUAAGUAUGACUCAGACAUACAGAGAAGAGCGGGGUAGGUGCUGAGACAGAAGCCUUCUCUCUUGACCAUGAAAUAAAGUGGACAGGCCACUCCACAGAGAAGAAUAGGGAAGGUCAAUAUUCCCACUCAUGAAACGCUGGGGGUGGCUUUUAACAAUCUCUCAACAGGAGCUGAGGGAACCUGUCUGAAAACAUCGUUUAGAAGUUGUUUUGCCUCAUCUAAUAGAUUAAAGCACAUCAUUUUGACUUACGGAUAAGGCACGUUUUAUGAAGUUUUAAAGAAGAAAUCCUAGUACUUAGCUACCUGAGAAUUAAAAUGAAGAGAAGAAAAUUUCCUGGGGAGAUAAUAGGGCGACACCAGACAUAAAUCAAGUGGCGAGAAGAGGUGGCUGCUUUUAGAGACCUGAGGGAGGAGGACAGAGCUUCUUGGAUCUUCAAGAGUGAUGCUACAUGAGGAGAGGGAAAAUGAUGCGUCUGAUUCAGAACCGUUCACUGAAGGCCAGAGAAACUCAGUACAGCACACCUGCUAUAAAAAAGGCUUCAAACACACACUCAAUAGCUUGGUUCACCCCUACCUCCUUCCAGACCAAUUGCUUCCUAGGAGCCUCAAGUGUCACCCAUGUUCAGAGUUUUAAAAACCAGUCAGGCUCUAGGAAUAACACUCUGCUCAGCGGAGGGUAAGUCAUGGUCAUGGUCAUACAUUUCCCCAUUUCUCUCUUAGUUCUUUUUAUAAGAGGAUGAGAGAAAGAGAAAGAGAGAGAGAGAGUAAGAGAGAGAGAGAGAUGGAGAGAGGGGGAGGGAGGGAGAAGGAGGGAAGGAGAGAUUGAGAGAGAGAGAGAGCGAUCUAGAGAGAGCACAUAUGUGUAUGCUGUUGUCUUCCCCCAGACAGCAUGAGAGGCUAGGGAUCAAUGUGUCUGCUAUCUGGCUUCCUCUAUCAGUUGACACCUUAUUUUUGUGAGACCGGCUCUCCCACUAAACCCGUAACUUUUCCUCUCAGGCAAUCUGCUAAGCAAAAUCUUGAGCUUGGCUUGUCCCCUAACUCAGCCCUGGAGUAACAGUCAUAAGCCUGUUUUUGUUUUUGUUUUUGUUUUGCACCUGCAUUUUGAUGUGGCUGAUAGGGAUUCAAACUCAGUUUCUCUUGCUUGAAUGGAAUACAUUUAUCUUCUGAAACGUAUCAUCGGCCCCAAACCGAUAUAAUUUGAAGUGUUCAGUCUCAGUUCAUAUUCUAUUCUCCCAAGUAGGGCUUCUUGAAGCCUUUCCAAUGCCGUCCUCCUUUCCUAUCCCUGUCUGUCUUCCACUUUUUACAGUAGGUCUGACUCUUCUAGCAUCUUUGCAGGAGAGACAGGAAUGGCCAACAGUAGAAGAAAAAGAUGGAGGUGGGGGUGUGUCAUGACUGAUGCUGUUGACAUCUACCUUUGCUCUGUAAUCUUGAGGGGGAAGUUAUGUUCUGGGAGUAGUGUUUUGUAAAGAGCCACCAUUUCCUAUGUGACCCUUUUUAUUUACCCAUGAGGCAUUACCUCUCAGGUAAUAAGCUAUACACCCAACCCCCACUGAUUAGUCAGAGGAAAUUACCCAUGAACCAAUUUCUCUUAUCUCCAGCUCUCCAACUUUGACUCAUCCUUAACCUGGGCCACUAGAAAGCCCGUCCUUAAGGAUCUUUCAAAGAAUAGGUUGGUUUUUG